RNAcentral lists this ribosomal RNA (486 nucleotides) under uncultured bacterium. Its description in RNAcentral is "partial 16S ribosomal RNA". It matches the Rfam family "Bacterial small subunit ribosomal RNA", at positions 30 to 507 of the family's 1533-position model. The record is from RNAcentral.
AUUGAACGCUGGCGGCAUGCCUUACACAUGCAAGUCGAACGGCAGCACGGGUGCUUGCCCCUGGUGGCGAGUGGCGAACGGGUGAGUAAUACAUCGGAACAUGUCCUGUAGUGGGGGAUAGCCCGGCGAAAGCCGGAUUAAUACCGCAUACGAUCUACGGCUGAAAGCGGGGGACCUUCGGGCCUCGCGCUAUAUGGUUGGCCGAUGGCUGAUUAGCUAGUUGGUGGGGUAAAGGCCUACCAAGGCGACGAUCAGUAGCUGGUCUGAGAGGACGACCAGCCACACUGGGACUGAGACACGGCCCAGACUCCUACGGGAGGCAGCAGUGGGGAAUUUUGGACAAUGGGCGAAAGCCUGAUCCAGCAAUGCCGCGUGUGUGAAGAAGGCCUUCGGGUUGUAAAGCACUUUUGUCCGGAAAGAAAUCCUUGGCCCUAAUACGGUCGGGGGAUGACGGUACCGGAAGAAUAAGCACCGGCUAACUACGUG